Molecule: ribosomal RNA, 253 nt
Filed under: uncultured bacterium
Lineage: Bacteria
Description: partial 16S ribosomal RNA
Rfam family: Bacterial small subunit ribosomal RNA
Source: RNAcentral
UACGUAGGGUGCAAGCGUUGUCCGGAAUUAUUGGGCGUAAAGAGCUCGUAGGCGGUUUGUCGCGUCUGCUGUGAAAACUGGAGGCUCAACCUCCAGCCUGCAGUGGGUACGGGCAGACUAGAGUGCGGUAGGGGAGAUUGGAAUUCCCGGUGUAGCGGUGAAAUGCGCAGAUAUCGGGAAGAACACCCGUGGCGAAGGCGGCUCUCUGGGACGGUACUGACGCUGAGACGCGAAAGCGUGGGGAGCGAACAGG